RNAcentral lists this ribosomal RNA (484 nucleotides) under uncultured bacterium. RNAcentral's name for it is "partial 16S ribosomal RNA". It matches the Rfam family "Bacterial small subunit ribosomal RNA", at positions 30 to 507 of the family's 1533-position model. The record is from RNAcentral.
AUUGAACGCUGGCGGCAGGCCUAACACAUGCAAGUCGAGCGGAUGAAGGGAGCUUGCUCCUGGAUUCAGCGGCGGACGGGUGAGUAAUGCCUAGGAAUCUGCCUGGUAGUGGGGGAUAACGUCCGGAAACGGGCGCUAAUACCGCAUACGUCCUGAGGGAGAAAGUGGGGGAUCUUCGGACCUCACGCUAUCAGAUGAGCCUAGGUCGGAUUAGCUAGUUGGUGUGGUAAAGGCCUACCAAGGCGACGAUCCGUAACUGGUCUGAGAGGAUGAUCAGUCACACUGGAACUGAGACACGGUCCAGACUCCUACGGGAGGCAGCAGUGGGGAAUAUUGGACAAUGGGCGAAAGCCUGAUCCAGCCAUGCCGCGUGUGUGAAGAAGAUCUUCGGAUUGUAAAGCACUUUAAGCUGGGAGGAAGGGCAGUAAGUUAAUACCUUGCUGUUUUGACGUUACCAACAGAAUAAGCACCGGCUAACUUCGUG